GAUGAACGCUGGCGGCGUGCCUAACACAUGCAAGUCGAACGGACGUAGCAAUACGUUAGUGGCGCACGGGUGAGUAACACGUAGCUGACCUGCCCUUCAGCGCGGGAUAACGGUUCGAAAGGACUGCUAAUACCGCAUAAGCUCCCGGUGUUUAGAAGACUGGGAGAAAAGCUGAGGCGCUGGAGGGAGGGGGCUGCGGUCCAUCAGGUAGAUGGUGCGGUAACGGCGCACCAUGCCGACGACGGAUA
This 248-nucleotide ribosomal RNA is filed under the name uncultured bacterium. Its description in RNAcentral is "partial 16S ribosomal RNA". It matches the Rfam family "Bacterial small subunit ribosomal RNA", at positions 28 to 285 of the family's 1533-position model. The record is from RNAcentral.